This 865-nucleotide ribosomal RNA is filed under the name uncultured bacterium. RNAcentral describes it as "bacterial SSU rRNA". It matches the Rfam family "Bacterial small subunit ribosomal RNA", at positions 28 to 916 of the family's 1533-position model. The record is from RNAcentral.
GGUAAACGCUAGCGGCGUGCCUUAUGCAUGCAAGUCGAACGGUCUCGAUUUAUCGGGAUAGUGGCGAACGGGUGAGUAACGCGUAAGUAAUCUGCCCCCAAGUAGGGGAUAACUCCGAGAAAUUGGAGCUAAUACUGUAUGUGGUGGUGGGGGUAAUGCUUCAUCACUAAAGCCUUAGGGCGCUUGGGGAGGGGCUUGCGUCCGAUUAGCUAGUUGGUAGGGUAAUGGUCUACCAAGGCGAUGAUCGGUAGCUGGUUUGAGAGGACGUCCAGCCACACUGGGACUGAGACACGGCCCAGACUCCUACGGGAGGCAGCAGCAAGGAAUUUUGUGCAAUGGGCGAAAGCCUGACACAGCGACGCCGCGUGGGGGAUGAAGGCCUUCGGGUUGUAAACCCUUUUCUCAGGGAAGAAUAAUGACGGUACCUGAGGAAUAAGUCUUGGCUAACUACGUGCCAGCAGCCGCGGUAAUACGUAGGAGGCGAGCGUUAUCCGGAUUUACUGGGUGUAAAGAGGGCGCAGGCGGUUUUUCAAGUCGAAUGUAAAAUCUCCCGGCUUAACUGGGAGGGACCAUUCGAUACUGUUGGGCUAGAGGGCAGCAGAAGGAGGUGGAAUUCCCGGUGUAGUGGGUGAAAUGCGUAGAUAUCGGGAGGAACACCAGUGGCGAAGGCGGCCUCCUAGGCUGUUUCUGACGCUGAGGCCCGAAAGCGUGGGGAGCGAACAGGAUUAGAUACCCUGGUAGUCCACGCCGUAAACUAUGGACACUAGGUAUAGGGAGUAUCGACCCUCUCUGUGCCGAAGCUAACGCAUUAAGUGUCCCGCCUGGGGAGUACGGCCGCAAGGCUAAAACUCAAAGGAAUUGACGG